RNAcentral lists this ribosomal RNA (478 nucleotides) under uncultured bacterium. RNAcentral describes it as "partial 16S ribosomal RNA". It matches the Rfam family "Bacterial small subunit ribosomal RNA", at positions 28 to 507 of the family's 1533-position model. The record is from RNAcentral.
GAUGAACGCUAGCGGCAGGCCUAACACAUGCAAGUCGAGGGAGAAGCCCUUUCGGGGGCAGAAACCGGCGCACGGGUGCGUAACGCGUAUGCAACCUACCUUUCACAGGGGGAUAGCCCGAAGAAAUUUGGAUUAAUACCCCAUAAUAUUAUUGGAUGGCAUCAUUUGAUAAUUAAAACUGCGGUGGUGAAAGAUGGGCAUGCGUCCUAUUAGCUAGUUGGAGUGGUAACGGCACCCCAAGGCUACGAUAGGUAGGGGUCCUGAGAGGGAGAUCCCCCACACUGGUACUGAGACAGGGACCAGACUCCUACGGGAGGCAGCAGUGAGGAAUAUUGGUCAAUGGUCGGAAGACUGAACCAGCCAUGCCGCGUGCAGGAAGAAUGCCUUAUGGGUUGUAAACUGCCUUUAUAUGGGAAGAAUAAGGCGUACGUGUACGUUGAUGACGGUACCAUAUGAAUAAGCAUCGGCUAACUCCGUG